CACAGGGAAUGAGGUUCUCCCGCAGCAACAGGCUGAAACCGCUGUAACAAGCUGAUGACUUCUGCAA
This 67-nucleotide non-coding RNA is filed under the name bovine gut metagenome. RNAcentral describes it as "Fluoride riboswitch". It matches the Rfam family "Fluoride riboswitch aptamer (crcB RNA motif)", at positions 7 to 60 of the family's 64-position model. The record is from RNAcentral.